AGCUACAAUAGCGUAUAUUAAAGUUGUUGAGGUUAAAAAGCUCGUAGUCGAAUCUCAGUCCUCGGCGGGCGGUCCACUGUUUGUGGCUACUGUUUGCCGGGACAUUUUACUGACCUCGACCCGCAGUGUUCUUAACCGGGCGUUGCGGGCGAUCAGUACGUUUACUUUGAAAAAAUUAGAGUGCUUAAAGCAGUCGUUUUGACCGAAUAAUGUUGCAUGGAAUAAUGGAAUAGGAUCUCGGUCCUAUUUUGUUGGUCUUAGGGACCAGAGAUAAUGAUUAAGAGGGACAGACGGGGGCAUUCGUAUUGCGGCGCUAGAGGUGAAAUUCUUGGACCGUCGCAAGACGAACUAAAGCGAAAGCAUUUGCCAAGAAUGUUUUCU
This 381-nucleotide ribosomal RNA is filed under the name uncultured eukaryote. Its description in RNAcentral is "SSU rRNA". It matches the Rfam family "Eukaryotic small subunit ribosomal RNA", at positions 587 to 972 of the family's 1831-position model. The record is from RNAcentral.